This 320-nucleotide small nuclear RNA is filed under the name Jaculus jaculus (lesser Egyptian jerboa). RNAcentral's name for it is "7SK RNA (ENSJJAG00000007962.1)". It matches the Rfam family "7SK RNA". Rfam says of the family: 7SK was discovered as an abundant small nuclear RNA in the mid-70s but a possible function has only recently been suggested. Two independent studies have found that 7SK RNA binds the CDK9/cyclin T complex (known as elongation factor P-TEFb). Lineage: Eukaryota; Metazoa; Chordata; Mammalia; Rodentia; Dipodidae. The record is from RNAcentral.
AGAUGUGAGGGUGAUCUGGCUGCAACAUCUGUCACCCAUUGAUUGCCAGGGUUGACUCGGCUGAUCUGGCUGGCUAGGCGGGUGUCCCCUUCCUCCCUCACCACUCCAUGUGUGUCCCUCCAGAAGCUGUACACUCAGUAGAAAAGGACGACCUUCUGCGAAGAGAGGAGGACCGGUCUUUGGUCAAGGGUAUAUGAGUAGCUGCACUCCCCUGCUUGAACCUCCAAACAAGUUCUCAAGAAACAUAUUACUUUAUAUGUUAACUUUUAAAAUAAAUUAUUAAAAUUUGAAGAAAAGACAAAUAGUUUUAAGAGUAGUUA